UAACAAAGAAAAGUUCCCCUGUGAUUCCUAAUAGUUUUCAGUCAUUUGGUAUUGGCUUAUCAAUAACUAGACCUAACUUUAACGUGGAUCGCCUCAUGUUUCCUUUUGCAAAUAGUUGGAUUGGCUAGUGACAUGGUUUGUGAGACAGCAAAGAUUUGGAGGAAAAUUCAUUGCUCUGAAGUUGCUGAACGAGCUCAUAAAUACAUGCACUUUACUGACUCACUGAAGAUUCGCUGCCUUAGGAAGACACAAAAGAAUCAUAAUUUGCAAGCCUAACAGCUUGCAUUGAAAUUUCAACAAAGGAUUCUGGAGGAAUCUUUAUAGUUUCUUGAACAUUCUUUGGGUAAUAAAAUAAGGCAGAGUUGACACUUUGGACUUGAAGAGACUUCUUCAAUAAUCUCAAAUAUGGGAAUUCUUUUAUCCGGCUCAAAACAUUCUCUAAGUAUAGCUAUCAUUAGGGAAUGAAAAUGAAGUAAUUUCUUUCUUUCUUUCUUUGUGUGUGUGUGUGUAUAAGCAUAAUUUUAUUUUUUUCAGUGUUAGGUUCAGGUGUACAGUAUAGUGAUUCAACAAUUCCUGUAAUGGACUGUUUUCUUAAAAAAUUUGAAAUACAAUCUUAUUUCCCUAAACUUUCAAAGAAAUCAAUAAUGCCAUUUUGAUAAUGUGAAUAGUUAUAGACAACUUCAUUGUUAAAAAAAUUCAGAGCAUGAGUGUCUUGUGUGUAUGUAUAUAUAUGUGUGUGUGUGACUUUAAACUUAAGUGAUUAUUUAAAAAAAAAUUUUUUUAAUGUGUAUUUAUUUUUGAGAGAGAGAGACAGAGCGCGAGCCUGGUGGGGCAGAGAGAGAGGGAGACACAGAAUCCGAAGUAGGCUCCAGGCUCUGAGCUGUCAGCACAGAGCCCGACGCUGGGCUUGAACCCACGAGAGACCAUGACCUGAGCCAAAGUCAGACAACCGACUGAGCCACCCAGGCACCCCUAAACUUAAGUAAUUAUUAAGGAUGAAUUUAAAGCAGUGUAGUUGUAAAAGCUUAUUUUGUAUUUGAGAAAUAAGUGAAGUAAAAAUAAGUAAACUUCAACUUGGUUUGGUAACUUGUUUAACAUUACCCAGUGUACCUAUAUUGAUAACUUUGACCAUUGGAAAAGUUUUACUUGUGUUAUUAUUGUUUUCCCUGGUGAACUACUCUUAAAAACUUGAGUAAUAGGAGAGAGACAGAUGUCAUUGUGGAUUGUCAUUCUGUUCUUCCUACAUCAUUCAGAUCAUGUCCAUAGAAUUAAAGUAUUUGGUUAUGGGUGAAAUCACAUUUGCUUCAGUUCAGAAAAAAAAAAAAAAGUGUGUGUGUACUUUUAUAUAUGUUACAUGUAUAUACACAUAUAUAUCUUUGUUUUUAUUUACUUCUUGUUAUAUGCUAGAUCCACUAAUAGAAGUCUAAAUUAUUCCCUGCCCUCGAGGAAUUUACGGUUUAUUUAAAGUAGGUAAUAAGACAGCAAAUACAUUUUGGAGAAAUUAGGAGUGCUUUUAUAGGAGUUCUGAGGAUUGUGGAAUCACUUUAGGGUAGGAUUUGAAUUGUGCUUUGAAGGAAUGGUAUUUAGGUGGGUUUGGAGAGGAGAAAAGAACAUUGGGGAACACCACAAAAUACAGAGACAAAUAAUGUGAAUAGAUCAAUUUAAUAAGAAUGGAAGGUUCACACUUGGGUAUAGUUCUUGAGCCUGGAAUAGUAAGUAGGUUGGUGCUACAGUAUGGAUGCCUGUGAAUGCUAUGCAUAAUAGUGAUUUGACUUAUUCAGUAGGCAGUCAGAACCAAGGGAGAAGUUUCUGAGUAGGGAGCUAAUAUGUGAGUAGCAUUUUAGGAAAAUUAAUCUCAUAGGAAGGUUAACCCUCAGUUCUUUACCUGUGUGUAGCAGGGAUCAGCAAACUAUGCCCACAGCCCAGAUCCAGCCUGCGGUCUUUUUUUUUUU
Panthera uncia (snow leopard) is the source of this 1952-nucleotide long non-coding RNA. RefSeq lists it as uncharacterized. The transcript has 2 exons. The record is from RefSeq and is a predicted model, not a curated record. Lineage: Eukaryota; Metazoa; Chordata; Mammalia; Carnivora; Felidae.